GUCGGUUUGUCUGAGUGGUUAAGGAGACAGAUUAGAAAUCUGUUGGGCUCUGCCCGCACAGGUUCAAAUCCUGUAGCCGACG
RNAcentral lists this transfer RNA (82 nucleotides) under Smittium simulii. It matches the Rfam family "tRNA". Rfam says of the family: Transfer RNA (tRNA) molecules are approximately 80 nucleotides in length. Lineage: Eukaryota; Fungi; Kickxellomycota; Harpellomycetes; Harpellales; Legeriomycetaceae. The record is from Rfam by way of RNAcentral.